CGAGCAGGCGGUUUUAUAAGUCGGAUGUGAAAUCCUACGGCUCAACCGUAGAACUGCAUUCGAUACUGUGGAACUUGAGUACUGGAGAGGAAAGCGGAACUCAUGGUGUAGCGGUAAAAUGCGUAGAUAUCAUGAGGAACACCGGUGGCGAAGGCGGCUUUCUGGCCAGAUACUGACGCUGAUCCGCGAAAGCCAGGGGAGCGAACG
RNAcentral lists this ribosomal RNA (207 nucleotides) under uncultured bacterium. RNAcentral's name for it is "partial 16S ribosomal RNA". It matches the Rfam family "Bacterial small subunit ribosomal RNA", at positions 568 to 774 of the family's 1533-position model. The record is from RNAcentral.